UGGGUUUAAGGAGUCAGUCGGUACAGUUGUACACCCGAAGUCGGUGAGGUAACCGUGAGGGGCAGCCGCCUAAGGUGGGAUAGAUGAUUGGGGUGAAGUCGUAACAAGGUAGCCGUAUCGGAAGGUGCGGCUGGAUCACCUCCUUUCUAAGGAUAAGGAACUGCGCAUUGGUCUUGUUUAGUCUUGAGAGGUCUUGUGGGGCCUUAGCUCAGCUGGGAGAGCGCCUGCUUUGCACGCAGGAGGUCAGCGGUUCGAUCCCGCUAGUCUCCAUUGGUGAGAGAUCACCAAGUAAUGCACAUUGAAAAUUGAAUAUCUAUAUCAAAUAGUAACAAGAAAAUAAACCGAAAACGCUGUAGUAUUAAUAAGAGUUUAUGACUGAAAGGUCAGAAAAUAAGGUUAAGUUAAUAAGGGCGCACGGUGGAUGCCUUGGCACUAGGAGCCGACGAAGGACGUGACAUACGACGAUAUGCAUUGGGUAGCUGUAAGUGAGCGAUGAUCCGGGUAUUUCCGACGGGGAAAACCCAAAGGUCCCGGGAACGUUUUCACAGGCCCGGGAACGUUUUUCACAGGCCCGGGAACGUAUUUCACAGGCCCGGGAACGUAUUCACAGGCCCGGGAACGUAUUUCACAGGCCCGGGAACGUAUUCACAGGCCCGGGAACGUAUUUCACAGGCCGGGAACGUAUUACACAGGGCCCAGGAACGUAUUCACAGUUCCGGGAACGUAUACAACAGUCCCGGGCAACGUAGUCCACAGGCCGGAAACGUAUUUACAAGGUCGGGAAACUUUAUUCGAUGUGUCAGGGAACGCAUUACAGGCGCCGAACGAGAUCCCAAGGUCUCGAACUAUGGAUAAUGAUGAAGUAUGAUGCGACAGCACUACGAGAA
This 887-nucleotide unclassified non-coding RNA is filed under the name Streptococcus pneumoniae. RNAcentral describes it as "partial contains 16S ribosomal RNA, 16S-23S ribosomal RNA intergenic spacer, and 23S ribosomal RNA". The stretch from base 1 to 146 matches the Rfam family "Bacterial small subunit ribosomal RNA", at positions 1376 to 1533 of the family's 1533-position model. Lineage: Bacteria; Bacillati; Bacillota; Bacilli; Lactobacillales; Streptococcaceae. The record is from RNAcentral.